Molecule: ribosomal RNA, 534 nt
Filed under: Rhodotorula mucilaginosa
Lineage: Eukaryota; Fungi; Basidiomycota; Microbotryomycetes; Sporidiobolales; Sporidiobolaceae
Description: eukaryotic LSU rRNA
Rfam family: Eukaryotic large subunit ribosomal RNA
Source: RNAcentral
GAGCUCAAAUUUAUAAUCUGGCACCUUCGGUGUCCGAGUUGUAAUCUCUAGAAAUGUUUUCCGCGUUGGACCGCACACAAGUCUGUUGGAAUACAGCGGCAUAGUGGUGAGACCCCCGUAUAUGGUGCGGACGCCCAGCGCUUUGUGAUACAUUUUCGAAGAGUCGAGUUGUUUGGGAAUGCAGCUCAAAUUGGGUGGUAAAUUCCAUCUAAAGCUAAAUAUUGGCGAGAGACCGAUAGCGAACAAGUACCGUGAGGGAAAGAUGAAAAGCACUUUGGAAAGAGAGUUAACAGUACGUGAAAUUGUUGGAAGGGAAACGCUUGAAGUCAGACUUGCUUGCCGAGCAAUCGGUUUGCAGGCCAGCAUCAGUUUUCCGGGAUGGAUAAUGGUAGAGAGAAGGUAGCAGUUUCGGCUGUGUUAUAGCUCUCUGCUGGAUACAUCUUGGGGGACUGAGGAACGCAGUGUGCCUUUGGCGGGGGUUUCGACCUCUUCACACUUAGGAUGCUGGUGGAAUGGCUUUAAACGACCCGUCUG